AUACUUGCCUGGAUGGGGUCUAUGGUUGAUCGAGAAGACUCAUGGCCUAGGUAGAUGGCUUUCAUUGUACUAAGAAGGUGCAUCUGCCUAAGGUCUCCUCAAGUGGAAGAGCAUAAUUUGUGGUAGUGGGGGCCUGCGUUCGCGGGGCCCCUGU
Molecule: small nuclear RNA, 154 nt
Organism: Manihot esculenta (cassava)
Lineage: Eukaryota; Viridiplantae; Streptophyta; Magnoliopsida; Malpighiales; Euphorbiaceae
Product: U1 spliceosomal RNA
Exons: 1
Source: RefSeq, a predicted model, not a curated record